AACGAGCGCUGGCGGCAUGCCUAACACAUGCAAGUCGAACGAGACCUUCGGGUCUAGUGGCGCACGGGUGCGUAACGCGUGGGAACCUGCCCUUAGGUUCGGAAUAACUCCCCGAAAGGGGUGCUAAUGCCGGAUAAUGUCUUCGGACCAAAGAUUUAUCGCCUUUGGAUGGGCCCGCGUUGGAUUAGCUAGUUGGUAGGGUAAAAGCCUACCAAGGCGACGAUCCAUAGCUGGUCUGAGAGGAUGAUCAGCCACACUGGGACUGAGACACGGCCCAGACUCCUACGGGAGGCAGCAGUGGGGAAUAUUGGACAAUGGGCGAAAGCCUGAUCCAGCAAUGCCGCGUGAGUGAUGAAGGCCUUAGGGUUGUAAAGCUCUUUUACCCGGGAUGAUAAUGACAGUACCGGGAGAAUAAGCUCCGGCUAACUCCGUG
RNAcentral lists this ribosomal RNA (433 nucleotides) under uncultured bacterium. Its description in RNAcentral is "partial 16S ribosomal RNA". It matches the Rfam family "Bacterial small subunit ribosomal RNA", at positions 29 to 507 of the family's 1533-position model. The record is from RNAcentral.